RNAcentral lists this ribosomal RNA (914 nucleotides) under uncultured bacterium. RNAcentral describes it as "bacterial SSU rRNA". It matches the Rfam family "Bacterial small subunit ribosomal RNA", at positions 481 to 1397 of the family's 1533-position model. The record is from RNAcentral.
UGGGAAUAAGCAUCGGCUAACUCCGUGCCAGCAGCCGCGGUAAUACGGAGGAUGCGAGCGUUAUCCGGGAUUUAUUGGGUUUAAAGGGUGCGUAGGCGGAUAGAUAAGUCAGUGGUGAAAUUCUGCAGCUUAACUGUAGACUUGCCGUUGAUACUGUCAGUCUUGAGUAUGGUCAAGGCAGGCGGAAUGUGUAAUGUAGCGGUGAAAUGCUUAGAUAUUACACAGAACACCGAUUGCGAAGGCAGCUUGCUGGGCCAUUACUGACGCUGAUGCACGAAAGCGUGGGGAUCGAACAGGAUUAGGUACCCUGGUAGUCCACGCCGUAAACGAUGAUCACUCGCUGUUGGCGAUACACAGUCAGCGGCUAAGCAAAAGCAUUAAGUGAUCCACCUGGGGAGUACGGCCGCAAGGCUGAAACUCAAAGGAAUUGACGGGGGCCCGCACAAGCGGAGGAACAUGUGGUUUAAUUCGAUGAUACGCGAGGAACCUUACCUGGGCUUAAAUGUAGAGUGCAUUGGUGAGAAAUCAUCAUUUUCUUCGGAACUCUCUGCAAGGUGCUGCAUGGUUGUCGUCAGCUCGUGCCGUGAGGUGUCGGGUUAAGUCCCAUAACGAGCGCAACCCUUAUCGUUAGUUGCCAGCGGGUAAUGCCGGGGACUCUAGCGAAACUGCCGGUGUAAACCGAGAGGAAGGUGGGGAUGACGUCAAAUCAGCACGGCCCUUAUGUCCAGGGCUACACACGUGUUACAAUGGCCGGUACAGAGGGCAGCUACCUGGAGACAGGAUGCGAAUCUCGAAAGCCGGUCUCAGUUCGGAUCGGAGUCUGCAACUCGACUCCGUGAAGCUGGAUUCGCUAGUAAUCGCGCAUCAGCCAUGGCGCGGUGAAUACGUUCCCGGGCCUUGUACACACCGCCCGU